This 714-nucleotide ribosomal RNA is filed under the name Escherichia coli. RNAcentral's name for it is "partial 23S ribosomal RNA". It matches the Rfam family "Bacterial large subunit ribosomal RNA", at positions 2096 to 2809 of the family's 2925-position model. The record is from RNAcentral. Lineage: Bacteria; Pseudomonadati; Pseudomonadota; Gammaproteobacteria; Enterobacterales; Enterobacteriaceae.
AACCUUUACUAUAGCUUGACACUGAACAUUGAGCCUUGAUGUGUAGGAUAGGUGGGAGGCUUUGAAGUGUGGACGCCAGUCUGCAUGGAGCCGACCUUGAAAUACCACCCUUUAAUGUUUGAUGUUCUAACGUGGACCCGUGAUCCGGGUUGCGGACAGUGUCUGGUGGGUAGUUUGACUGGGGCGGUCUCCUCCUAAAGAGUAACGGAGGAGCACGAAGGUUGGCUAAUCCUGGUCGGACAUCAGGAGGUUAGUGCAAUGGCAUAAGCCAGCUUGACUGCGAGCGUGACGGCGCGAGCAGGUGCGAAAGCAGGUCAUAGUGAUCCGGUGGUUCUGAAUGGAAGGGCCAUCGCUCAACGGAUAAAAGGUACUCCGGGGAUAACAGGCUGAUACCGCCCAAGAGUUCAUAUCGACGGCGGUGUUUGGCACCUCGAUGUCGGCUCAUCACAUCCUGGGGCUGAAGUAGGUCCCAAGGGUAUGGCUGUUCGCCAUUUAAAGUGGUACGCGAGCUGGGUUUAGAACGUCGUGAGACAGUUCGGUCCCUAUCUGCCGUGGGCGCUGGAGAACUGAGGGGGGCUGCUCCUAGUACGAGAGGACCGGAGUGGACGCAUCACUGGUGUUCGGGUUGUCAUGCCAAUGGCACUGCCCGGUAGCUAAAUGCGGAAGAGAUAAGUGCUGAAAGCAUCUAAGCACGAAACUUGCCCCGAGAUGAGU